GUGCCAGCCGCCGCGGUAAUACGGAGGGUGCAAGCGUUAUCCGGAUUCACUGGGUUUAAAGGGUGCGUAGGUGGGAAUGUAAGUCAGUGGUGAAAUCUCCGUGCUUAACAUGGAAACUGCCAUUGAUACUAUGUUUCUUGAAUUUUCUGGAGGUAAGCGGAAUAUGUCAUGUAGCGGUGAAAUGCUUAGAUAUGACAUAGAACACCAAUUGCGAAGGCAGCUUGCUACAGGGAUAUUGACACUGAGGCACGAAAGCGUGGGGAUCAAACAGGAUUAGAUACCCGCGUAGUCC
This 292-nucleotide ribosomal RNA is filed under the name uncultured bacterium. RNAcentral describes it as "partial 16S ribosomal RNA". It matches the Rfam family "Bacterial small subunit ribosomal RNA", at positions 505 to 796 of the family's 1533-position model. The record is from RNAcentral.